GAUGAACGCCGGCGGCGUGCUUAACACAUGCAAGUCGAACGAAGCACUUUAUUUGAUUUCCUUCGGGACUGAUUAUUUUGUGACUGAGUGGCGGACGGGUGAGUAACGCGUGGGUAACCUGCCUUGUACAGGGGGAUAACAGUUGGAAACGGCUGCUAAUACCGCAUAAGCGCACGGCAUCGCAUGAUGCAGUGUGAAAAACUCCGGUGGUAUAAGAUGGACCCGCGUUGGAUUAGCUAGUUGGUGAGGUAACGGCCCACCAAGGCGACGAUCCAUAGCCGACCUGAGAGGGUGACCGGCCACAUUGGGACUGAGACACGGCCCAAACUCCUACGGGAGGCAGCAGUGGGGAAUAUUGCACAAUGGGCGAAAGCCUGAUGCAGCGACGCCGCGUGAGCGAAGAAGUAUUUCGGUAUGUAAAGCUCUAUCAGCAGGGAAGAUAAUGACGGUACCUGACUAAGAAGCACCGGCUAAAUACGUG
Molecule: ribosomal RNA, 481 nt
Filed under: uncultured bacterium
Lineage: Bacteria
Description: partial 16S ribosomal RNA
Rfam family: Bacterial small subunit ribosomal RNA
Source: RNAcentral